Molecule: non-coding RNA, 71 nt
Organism: Parastagonospora nodorum SN15
Lineage: Eukaryota; Fungi; Ascomycota; Dothideomycetes; Pleosporales; Phaeosphaeriaceae
Source: the annotation of a RefSeq genome assembly
GGCGUGGUGGCAGAGUGGUUAAUGCGUAUGACUCGAAAACAGGAGCGCAGGUUCGAAUCCUGCCUACGUCG